GGACUGAGACACGGCCCAGACUCCUACGGGAGGCAGNNNNNNNGAAUUUUGGACAAUGGGGGCAACCCUGAUCCAGCAAUGCCGCGUGCAGGACGAAGGCCNUCGGGUUGUAAACUGCUUUUGUNCNGAACGAAAAGGACNNCUCUAAUACAGAGGUUUCAUGACGGUACNGCAAGAAUAAGCACCGGCUAACUACGUGCCAGCAGCCGCGGUAAUACGUAGGGUGCGAGCGUUAAUCGGAAUUACUGGGCGUAAAGCGUGCGCAGGCGGCNNNGUAAGACAGAGGUGAAAUCCCCGGGCUCAACCUGGGAACUGCCUUUGUGACUGCGCGGCUGGAGUGCGGCAGAGGGGGGUGGAAUUUCGCGUGUAGCAGUGAAAUGCGUAGAUAUGCGAAGGAACACCGAUGGCGAAGGCAGCCCCCUGGGCCUGCACUGACGCUCAUGCACGAAAGCGUGGGGAGCAAACAGGAUUAGAUACCCUGGUAGUCCACGCCCUAAACGAUGUCAACUGGUUGUUGGGGAUUU
This 524-nucleotide ribosomal RNA is filed under the name uncultured Comamonadaceae bacterium. RNAcentral's name for it is "partial 16S ribosomal RNA". It matches the Rfam family "Bacterial small subunit ribosomal RNA", at positions 316 to 832 of the family's 1533-position model. Lineage: Bacteria; Pseudomonadati; Pseudomonadota; Betaproteobacteria; Burkholderiales; Comamonadaceae. The record is from RNAcentral.